RNAcentral lists this ribosomal RNA (233 nucleotides) under uncultured bacterium. Its description in RNAcentral is "partial 16S ribosomal RNA". It matches the Rfam family "Bacterial small subunit ribosomal RNA", at positions 100 to 334 of the family's 1533-position model. The record is from RNAcentral.
CGGGACGGGUGAGUAAUGUCUGGGAAACUGCCUGAUGAGGGGGAGUAACUACUGGAAACGGUAGCUAAUACCGCAUAACGUCGCAAGACCAAAGAGGGGGACCUUAGGGCCUCUUGCCAUCGGAUGUGCCCAGAUGGGAUUAGCUAGUAGGUGGGGUAACGGCUCACCUAGGCGACGAUCCCUAGCUGGUCUGAGAGGAUGACCAGCCACACUGGAACUGAGACACGGUCCAG